UGGGGGAUAUUGCACAAUGGGGGAAACCCUGAUGCAGCGACGCCGCGUGGAGGAAGAAGGUUUUCGGAUUGUAAACUCCUGUCGUUAGGGACGAUAAUGACGGUACCUAACAAGAAAGCACCGGCUAACUACGUGCCAGCAGCCGCGGUAAAACGUAGGGUGCAAGCGUUGUCCGGAAUUACUGGGUGUAAAGGGAGCGCAGGCGGACCGGCAAGUUGGAAGUGAAAACUAUGGGCUCAACCCAUAAAUUGCUUUCAAAACUGCUGGCCUUGAGUAGUGCAGAGGUAGGUGGAAUUCCCGGUGUAGCGGUGGAAUGCGUAGAUAUCGGGAGGAACACCAGUGGCGAAGGCGACCUACUGGGCACCAACUGACGCUGAGGCUCGAAAGCAUGGGUAGCAAACAGGAUUAGAUACCCUGGUAGUCCAUGCCGUAAACGAUGAUUACUAGGUGUUGGAGGAUUGACCCCUUCAGUGCCGCAGUUAACACAAUAAGUAAUCCACCUAGGGAGUACGACCGCAAGGUUGAAACUCAAAGGAAUUGACGGGGGCCCGCACAAGCAGUGGAGUAUGUGGUUUAAUUCGAAGCAACGCGAAGAACCUUACCAGGUCUUGACAUCCGAUGCAUAGCUUAGAGAUAAGUGAAGUCCUUCGGGACAUCGAGACAGGUGGUGCAUGGUUGUCGUCAGCUCGUGUCGUGAGAUGUUGGGUUAAGUCCCGCAACGAGCGCAACCCUUAUUGCCAGUUACUACGUAAGAGGACUCUGGCGAGACUGCCGUUGACAAAACGGAGGAAGGUGGGGAUGACGUCAAAUCAUCAUGCCCCUUAUGACCUGGGCUACACACGUACUACAAUGGAUGUUAACAGAGGGAAGCAAGACAGCGAUGUGGAGCAAACCCCUAAAAACAUUCUCAGUUCAGAUUGCAGGCUGCAACCCGCCUGCAUGAAGAUGGAAUUGCUAGUAAUCGCGGAUCAGCAUGCCGCGGUGAAUACGUUCCC
RNAcentral lists this ribosomal RNA (995 nucleotides) under uncultured bacterium. RNAcentral's name for it is "bacterial SSU rRNA". It matches the Rfam family "Bacterial small subunit ribosomal RNA", at positions 355 to 1375 of the family's 1533-position model. The record is from RNAcentral.